UACGUAGGUGGCAAGCGUUGUCCGGAAUUAUUGGGCGUAAAGCGCGCGCAGGCGGUUCUUUAAGUCCGUUGUGAAAGCCCUGGGCUCAACCUGGGAAUGGCAGUGGAUACUGGCGAGCUAGAGUGUGAUAGAGGAUGGUGGAAUUCCCGGUGUAGCGGUGAAAUGCGUAGAGAUCGGGAGGAACACCUGUGGCGAAAGCGGCGCACUGGACCACAACUGACGCUGAGGCGCGAAAGCUAGGGGAGCAAACAGG
This 253-nucleotide ribosomal RNA is filed under the name uncultured bacterium. RNAcentral describes it as "partial 16S ribosomal RNA". It matches the Rfam family "Bacterial small subunit ribosomal RNA", at positions 524 to 776 of the family's 1533-position model. The record is from RNAcentral.